This 569-nucleotide unclassified non-coding RNA is filed under the name Anemonastrum flaccidum (flaccid anemone). RNAcentral describes it as "Anemone flaccida contains ITS1, 5.8S rRNA and ITS2". The stretch from base 204 to 359 matches the Rfam family "5.8S ribosomal RNA". The record is from RNAcentral. Lineage: Eukaryota; Viridiplantae; Streptophyta; Magnoliopsida; Ranunculales; Ranunculaceae.
UCGAUACCUGCCAAGCAGAACGACCAGCGAACAAGUGAAAACAACCACAUGCUGGGAAACAGGCCGGAGCGGCCUCACAGCCGCCUCCGUCCCGCAACCCAGCAAAACUUAAAAAUCCGGCGCAACCAGCGUCAAGGAAAACUUAGCGGAAACAAGGCGUCGACCUGUAACAAGGAAGACACUGGAAAUCCAAAUACUCAAACGACUCUCGGCAACGGAUAUCUCGGCUCUUGCAUCGAUGAAGAACGUAGCGAAAUGCGAUACUUGGUGUGAAUUGCAGAAUCCCGUGAACCAUCGAGUCUUUGAACGCAAGUUGCGCCCAAAGCCUUUUGGCCUAGGGCACGUCUGCCUGGGCGUCACACACAGCGUCUUCCCCCAUCAAUCUCAUUGGAUGGGGAAGGAAAUUGGCCCCCCGAACCCUUUUGGGUACGGUCGGCACAAAUGUUGGUCCUCGGCUGCGAGCAUUGCGGUCAACGGUGGUUGUAUUCUCAUCCUCGUAAUGACGUGUAUGACUCGUUGCAUGUAGGUCGAAACUAACCCUAAGAAGUUCCUUUCGAGGGCUUUUACCU